This 622-nucleotide unclassified non-coding RNA is filed under the name Hevea brasiliensis (rubber tree). The record is from RNAcentral. Lineage: Eukaryota; Viridiplantae; Streptophyta; Magnoliopsida; Malpighiales; Euphorbiaceae.
GCAAUCCUUUCCCUACGUAACUGGACCCAGAAGAUAAAAAAUCAAAAGCUGGAAUUAACUACAGCAAUGCAGAACAGCUAUAAAAAUUGUGAAAGAGUUGCACUCAUUCUACUACUGCAACAAUCAAGAAUCUUUUAGAACAGUACAAAUAGUCCUAGAUUUCAAGAAUAAGGCAAGGAAUCUUCAAGCAGAGUUUUGAUAUUGAAUCCUAUAGCAAGUGGAAACUAUGAAGAUAAUAGUCCCAUUAUCAGAUAUGCUCUGAACACACAUAUAUACCUUAAUUAAUUCUCUGUCAUGAGAAGCUAAAAGCUUUGAAACUUGCAAGUUAUACAUAUUCAUUGACUUCCACAAAGUAAUAUCAGUGAAGAAACACCAGAUGAUUCAAUGACAAUGAAGCCAUGUUACAGGAGAUUCUACAAGAGUAAAAUGCCUGAAUCUUUUUAUUUUAUUUCUUCCUUUCAACAUGAAAUGCUGCAUAAUGGCAAAACCUUCAGCAUGUUACACGCUACAUGGACACAAUUGUGAAUUCUUGCGCCAUUUGGAAGGACUUUUGCUGCAAGAAAAACUCUACAUUUACGGAUUCUAGAAACAAAUGGAAAUAAAGUUUACCCGCUCAGCAAUG